RNAcentral lists this long non-coding RNA (500 nucleotides) under Salvia miltiorrhiza (redroot sage). Its description in RNAcentral is "long non-coding RNA (SMIL_LNC001441)". Lineage: Eukaryota; Viridiplantae; Streptophyta; Magnoliopsida; Lamiales; Lamiaceae. The record is from RNAcentral.
UAUUAUUAUAAUUAUAAUAGAACUGAUUCAGCCCAAAAAUGAGCCAUUUAUUACAAAAACGCAGCUCAGACCAUGAACAGCAGCCCAAGAGAAAAACAUAAGCCCAGCCUAAACGCCCAGACCACGGCCCAAACUCCCAGCGGCCCAAAACCCAAUUCUGAGGCUAGGGUUUUCAGCCUUUGCAGCAACAGCUGCCGCCUCCCUUCCUGUCAGCCCGCUGCCGCCGCCUUCAGCCACGCCGGAGGAGGAUCGCGACGUGAACAGUGUCGCGCGGCAUCGCCGGACGGAUCCCCGCCGGUCGCGGUGCGUUGGCUACUAAGCCCACGUCGAAGAGAGGCGUUUUCUGGAAGGGAAAGCAGCGACGCUGUCGCCGCGAGCGCGCAGGUCCGUCACACGAGACCUCCACCGCUGUGACGCUUCCCGUCACGCCACCGCGAUCCAGUGGCUUUCAUCCACCAACGCCGCCACCUCCCCGUCGCCUUCCGCGCCGGCGGCCAAGC